This 282-nucleotide non-coding RNA is filed under the name Prorocentrum minimum. The record is from RNAcentral. Lineage: Eukaryota; Dinophyceae; Prorocentrales; Prorocentraceae.
AAUAAAGAAAGAAUUAAGAGCGUCAGGAGCUCGAGGAUGUGUCAUUUUCCUGUAGAACCAAUUUCUUUCUUUCCUUUCUUAAGUCGUGAUCCUUAAUCUCUGGCUCUUUCUUCUUUAAUGUGGGAAUUGAGCCAGAGAUUGAUCACGACUGAAAGGAAAAUGAAAAUUGGUUCAGGAAAAUGAUUCACAAUUAAAUAAAGGAAAGAAAAAAUAAUGUACGGACUAAUUAUUAAAGAAAAGAAAGUAAAGAUCGUCCGUACAAUUAUUUUCUUUCCAUUUAAU